CCUACGGGUGGCAGCAGUGGGGGAUAUUGCACAAUGGGGGAAACCCUGAUGCAGCGACGCCGCGUGUGGGAAGACGGUCCUCUGGAUUGUAAACCACUGUCCCCAGGGACGAAGAUGACGGUACCUGGGGAGGAAGCUCCGGCUAACUACGUGCCAGCAGCCGCGGUAAUACGUAGGGAGCGAGCGUUGUCCGGAAUUACUGGGUGAAAAGGGAGCGUAGGCGGGAAUGCAAGUUGGUUGUCAAAUCUACCGGCUCAACCGGUAGCCGCACUCAAAACUGCAGUUCUUGAGUGAAGUAGAGGCAGGCGGAAUUCCUAGUGUAGCGGUGAAAUGCGUAGAUAUUAGGAGGAACACCAGUGGCGAAGGCGGCCUGCUGGGCUUUUACUGACGCUGAGGCUCGAAAGUGUGGGGAGCAAACAGGAUUAGAUACCCCAGUAGUC
Molecule: ribosomal RNA, 440 nt
Filed under: uncultured bacterium
Lineage: Bacteria
Description: partial 16S ribosomal RNA
Rfam family: Bacterial small subunit ribosomal RNA
Source: RNAcentral